RNAcentral lists this ribosomal RNA (772 nucleotides) under uncultured bacterium. Its description in RNAcentral is "bacterial SSU rRNA". It matches the Rfam family "Bacterial small subunit ribosomal RNA", at positions 434 to 1209 of the family's 1533-position model. The record is from RNAcentral.
UUUUAUACACCAAGAAAAACUCGAACGUGUUCGAGCCCGACGGUAGUGUAUGAAUAAGCAUCGGCUAACUCCGUGCCAGCAGCCGCGGUAAUACGGAGGAUGCAAGCGUUAUCCGGAUUCAUUGGGUUUAAAGGGUGCGUAGGCGGCUCUUUAAGUCAGUGGUGAAAUCCUGCCGCUUAACGGUAGAAUUGCCAUUGAUACUGAAGAGCUUGAGUACAGUUGAGGUAAGCGGAAUGUGUAGUGUAGCGGUGAAAUGCUUAGAUAUUACACAGAACACCGAUUGCGAAGGCAGCUUACUAAACUGUUACUGACGCUGAUGCACGAAAGCGUGGGGAGCGAACAGGAUUAGAUACCCUGGUAGUCCACGCCGUAAACGAUGCUCACUCGCUGUUUGCGAUACACAGCAAGCGGCCAAGCGAAAGCAUUAAGUGAGCCACCUGGGGAGUACGAUCGCAAGGUUGAAACUCAAAGGAAUUGACGGGGGCCCGCACAAGCGGAGGAACAUGUGGUUUAAUUCGAUGAUACGCGAGGAACCUUACCUGGGCUUAAAUGUAGAGCGACAGCUUGUGAAAGCAGGCUUUCUUCGGACGAUCUACAAGGUGCUGCAUGGUUGUCGUCAGCUCGUGCCGUGAGGUGUCGGGUUAAGUCCCAUAACGAGCGCAACCCUUAUCGUUAGUUGCCAGCGGGUCAUGCCGGGGACUCUAGCGAGACUGCCACCGUAAAGGUGUGAGGAAGGUGGGGAUGACGUCAAAUCAGCACGGCCCUUAUGUCC